Molecule: transfer RNA, 74 nt
Filed under: Petromyzon marinus (sea lamprey)
Lineage: Eukaryota; Metazoa; Chordata; Hyperoartia; Petromyzontiformes; Petromyzontidae
Description: tRNA-Asn (GTT) (tRNA-Asn-GTT-17-1)
Rfam family: tRNA
About the family: Transfer RNA (tRNA) molecules are approximately 80 nucleotides in length. Their secondary structure includes four short double-helical elements and three loops (D, anti-codon, and T loops).
Source: RNAcentral
GUCUCUGUGGCGCAAUUGGUUAGCGCGUUCGGUUGUUAACCGGAAGGUUGGUGGUUCAAGCCCACCCAGGGACG